AACUAACAAAAUUCAGAAGCAAAAUUCUCUUCUCUAAAAUUAUUUUCUUCUUCAGCAGAAGCUUUGGUUGUUCCAUGAUGGUUUCAAAGUCCGUAAGAAUUACAGGCUCAGGUAUGGGCUUAUUAAGUAUUUUGGAGAGUGCGUGGGUCAUUGUAUUUUAUUUUGAUGGAUAAGAAUCUGUCAAGCUGCUUUGAUAUCUUCGAGACGGAGGUUGAUUACCAAGGAUGCUCAUCCUUAUAUUGAAUCACUUGCUAAGGUUUGAGUAUCUCAAUUGAUCGACAAAUGAGGUUCUGAAUCUUGCUAGCUGAAUCCCGCAUCAAGGCUUCCUCUUUUUGUUUCUUAUAUCCUGUUCUUGUGGAAGGUUAAAAUAUAAGUCUUCAUUGUUGGACCAGACGCAUCCAGGCCCCUAAGGUUACUGAAGAGAAUGCUAUCAGUGUUUCCAAAAGUUGUCACUUGCUCAUGGAUUUUCUUUUCUUGAGGGUAAUGUUGAGGCCAAGAGGAGAUGCUGAAGAGGCAGGGCGUGAUGCAGAAGUUUGCAACUACCAUACUUUGCAAGGAGGAUUUCCCAAAUUUUAUAGCAGGACGACCCCAGGUCGCUUAGGUAAUAUGGACCUAGCUCUCAUCAAAAACCAACUUACUGAGGAAGCACCGACCGGAUCUUAGAAAGAUCAAAAGCCGAGAAUAUUCAGAUCCCUCAAGUUACUGAAGAUAAUGCAUUGUUCCCAAAAGUUCUGACACUUGCUCAUGCAUUUUCUCUUCUUGACGAUAAGGUUGAGGCCCAAAAAGAGAUGCUGAAGAGGGCAACUGAUCAGUGGACCUGCUAGCAGGUACUGAGCAGAACCGCAGGUCACUUAAGUAUAAAUAUAUGGACUUAGCUCUCAUCAAUUGCCAACUUACAAAGGAAGCGCUGACGGGAUCUUAGAAAGAUCAAAAGCCAAGGUUAUUCAGGUGAUGAGGAACUAUUUUAACAAUACUUGCUUAGUAAUAUUAGAUUUGUAAGGUGAUAAAGUAGGUUUCUAACAAUGAACAUCGUAAGUUUUGUUGUUUUACAAUGAAGAAAUCGAAGAUGUAUAACCCUUGCAUUAGUAGGAAUUUUUUUUUCUAUUGAAAUUGAGCUUACAGAGAUG
Molecule: long non-coding RNA, 1127 nt
Organism: Papaver somniferum (opium poppy)
Lineage: Eukaryota; Viridiplantae; Streptophyta; Magnoliopsida; Ranunculales; Papaveraceae
Exons: 8
Source: RefSeq, a predicted model, not a curated record